RNAcentral lists this long non-coding RNA (36474 nucleotides) under Physcomitrium patens. RNAcentral's name for it is "long non-coding RNA (PPAT_LNC011977)". The record is from RNAcentral. Lineage: Eukaryota; Viridiplantae; Streptophyta; Bryopsida; Funariales; Funariaceae.
UUUUUUUUUUUUUUUUUUUGUUUUUUAAUCUUUCAUUGAAAAACAACUAACUUGUUCAUUGGUAUUUAUCAAGUUUUUAUUCUUGAUAGUAUCUUGUACUAAAUAAUAUUUCUUUAAUACAAAAUAAGGUUACUUGUUAAAAGAUAUUAAUAAAUAGCUAAUAAUGAUCUUAAUGAGAUAUCUCUAUACAAUACUAAAUCUACUACUUUAAAAACCAAUGUAACAAUAAAGAUAGAAAUUAAUUUAAAAAUUUAUCAAAUAGAUUUAAAAUUAAUAUUUUUUAAUAAAAAGUUCAAAAUAAAAAUUUAAGUAGAUUAAAAAAAUUAUAUUUAUACAAAAAUAAAAUAAAUUUUUUUGUAUGAAAAUUAUAAUUUUUUAAAAAAAAAUUAAAUUUUAAAUGUAUAACUUUAAUAGAAAAAAAUUAAUUUAAACCUUAAUAAUAAAAAUUUAGAUUUAAAACAUAAUAUCAUACAAACUAGUGAAGUCAUAAAACUUAUCAUUAAUCUAUUAUGUUGUAGUAUUAUUUGUUAGAAUAGAAUUUUUUUAUAAAUUUGUAAGAACAAACCAACAAUUUUAUAUCAAAUGAUAUUUCAUAAUAAAGAAAUUAUGAUUAAAAAAUAUUUUUAAAAUAUUAGACUUGUACAAUAAGCUUUUAGACUAAUAGAAUAAAAUAAUCUAUGAUUUUUUAUAUUUUUAGGUAAUCCAGAGUAAUUUUUAUUAGUCAAAUAUACUAUAGCUUGAUAUACUUUGUUAGUAAGAAAUUUAAAAAUAAAUUGAUUAAUAUAAUAUAUUUUAUAAUAAAAUAUAUAUUUUUUUGCUUUGAUAUAAAGGUACUUAUAAGAGAUAUAUAUAAAAAUUUGAUAAAAAAAUAGACUUGAAAGCUUUUGAGAACUUACAAAAAAUAAGGAAUAUAAAUGAUAUUAUAAAAAUAAAAUUAUAUAGAUUCUAGUUUUUUUUUUUUAAAAAAAAUCCAAAGUCUUUUAUAGAUAGACUUAUUUAAUAAUUGAAAGACAAAAUGAUAGUAAAGCAUUAAAUAAUGGCAAUAGUAAGUAAAAUCUAAAGAUUUAGAAGAAUAUUCUUUAAAUUAUCUUAUUUAAAUAGAAUAUUUUGGUGAUUUUGAAAAAUAAGCAGCCUAAUUUUUAUGGAUUAUUAUCUCAAUGAAAUAACAUUAUCAAUAAAGUAAUUUAGGCACUAAUCAAAAAGAAACCUAAUAUUUAUUUAUUACAUAUAAUUAAUGAGACAUAAUUUUAUUGUUAUCUAUUGUAAUUAUUUUUAAAUAAUUUUAUUUUAGAAUUCAUUACUAUAUAAGAUCCACUAAAUUAUACCAAAGUUAAAUGGUUACUUAAUCUUAGUGAUACUUUCUACCUUUCUAAAAUAGAACUCUUACAAAUUGGCUAUAAUAGUUUGUAAUUAUAAUGCUUCUAAGAAAUAGCCUAAUUACAUACUAAAAAAUAAAUUUUUUGAAAUUAAAUUAUUUAUAUUAUUCAUAAUCACUAUCUUUAUCUAUUAUCAAUUUAUAUUUAUUAUUAAUAAGUUAAUUCUUCAUUAAUAUUCUUAGUAAUAUUCUACUAAUAUUUUUAUUAAUUAUAUCUAUUAAUUUUGAAAAUAAUCAUUUAAAAAUUGAAUUUCUAUUUUUUAUUUUUUAUUUUUUAUUUACAUAAACUAGUCAUUAAUUAACUUUAAAAUAUGACUAUAACUAUAAAUAUAACUACAAGUAUAACUAUUAGAUAUUUUUGUGAUUUUCUACAAUACACUUGAACUUUAACGUUCUACAAACAAAUUGUUACUAAGUAAUUUUAAAAAUGAUAUAUAGAAUUGAAAAGAUAGUAAUUGUGAUUAUUAGAAAAAAAUUAAUCUUUGCUUGGGAUUUAACAGAAUUAAAAUUUUAAAUUUCAGAAGAGCACUUUAAAUUUAAAUAUUUAUAAAUAACUUAUAAGAUAUUACACUAAAGUGCUCCAAGGAAGUAAAAUAUUUUAAUAAGGAUAUUUUUCAAAAAGCUUAUUACCUCUAGGUUUUAAUAUUAAUCUAUUCUACAAAGAAGCUUAUGUAAUUGUUACAACCCAAAGAUCUACAUAUCUAUGCCACUUCUAAAAGUACAUAAUUUUUUUUUAAAGAUUUAAAUUAUAUAUAUAUAUAUAUAUAUAUAUAUAGAUAAUCCUUAAAAUAAAAGUCAAGAAUUAUAACUUGGUUUUUGUACUAUGCAACACUUAUAAUAAUAUUCAAUUAAUGCCUAGAAGUUACGAACCUUAUCAAAAUUCUAUUAUAAAAAAUAUUACCCAAAAGAUGAGUGGAGACAUAGAAAAUUUAAGAAAGAAUAAAAGAUAUGUGUUCUUUAUAAACCUUUGCAUUUAACCACAACCUUGUGCUACUAGCUUAUUUUUAAUCUAGUUUAUUUCAUUUUUUUAUAUUUCUUGUUCUAACUUGCUUCUACUUAAUAUUUGUCUUGAUCUUCUAAUUUCUGCUAUUUAGGUUUUUUUAUCUUUAUAUAUUUUUUAAAUUUUUACUUAAAACAAGAAGUAAUUUUGGCAAUUGAAGACCAUAUUUACAAACUUUACAAUAUAUAGGUUUGUAGGUUGUAUGUUCAGAUAUAAAGGAUAAAAAAUAAGUUCAUAACUUUCAUUCUGAAAUUUUAAUUGUGUGCAAAUAAAAAUAAGCAUAAAAAUAGAAGUUAUUACUAAGAUAUGAAAAAACUUGUAAGCUAAUUAAAAAUUUAGACUCUAGACAUAUUAUAUAAAUAAAAAAUUCAUUGAAAAAAUUAAAAAGAUUCUUAGAUACGGAUUACAUUUAUAGACUCUUCUAAACUUGCUAUAAAGAUAUUUAAAAAAAAAUAGAGGUUUUGUAUGUUUUAGAAGUUAUUAAAAAUUAAUCUACAACCUAGAUUCUUAGUCUAUAAUACAUUAGAAAACAAACCAUCAAACUCAAGUUGUACAUAAAAAUUGCUCUAACAAAAUUUUAUUGAUAAGUUAAAAUUUAAAGACAAGAUUUUGUCUAUGUCCAUUGUAUACAUAGUGCAUAGGUAGGUGAUUAAGUGCAUAACUAUUUUUCUAAUAACUUAUAACUUUCUCCAUAUUAUCAAUAAGUUCCUAUUUAUUUAUAGUAAUAAUAUACUAUUGGACUUGUAAGGUUGUAAGAUUAGUAAAUAUUUCUCUCUUGUUUUAAUAUUAGAAAAAAAUAAUCAAAUAUAGAUAUUUAAUUUUAGAAAAAAGUCUAUCAAAUAUAUACAUUCUAUUAAAAAUAAGAAAAAAUAAAUUUGUAAAAAUUAACUAUUCUUUCAAAUAUGUAUAUGUAUGUAUAUAUGUAUAUAUAUAUAUAUAUAUAUAUAUAUAUACAUAUAUAUAUAUAUAUAUACAUAUACAUAUACAUAUUCUUUUAAAUAUUAUUUUAGUCUUUUCAGUCAAUAAUAAUAUAAAAAAAUUAAUACCUCAUAAAAAAUAUAUUUUUUUUAUAAAUUUCAAUGUCAAUACUUUAUAUUAUCAAGUUCAAUUACAAAUAUGAAUAAACUCUCUAAAACAUUAUUACUUUGAUUAGUCUUUGUAAAUUCUAGAUGUUCUAACAAUUUAAAAGAUCAAUCAAGAUUUUAAGAAUUUAAUUAAUUUUAGGAAGAAUCUUUCAAUUAUUUAUAUUUUAUUUGAAUAAAUAAAUUCUAUCAUUGUAAAAUCAAGUCUUAAAAAUAACUUAUAAGAAAUUUUAAAAUAAAGACUACAUUAAUUAUUAUAAAAAAAUUUAAUAUAUAGAAAAUAAAAGAUGUUAAAUUUGAAAGAAUGUUUUCAAUUAAACUCUUGUAUCUGUAUUCAAUUAUUUUGCACUAUACUAUUAAAAGUUAAAAGUUUUUUCUAAUGAAUAUUAAUUGAUGGUAUAUUUUUACCAAUAUAAAACAUAUUAUUUUUUUUAUUCUAUCCUUGAAUUAGAUAUUUUCUCCAUCUCAAGUUCUAAGAAAUUAUUAGUUUUUACAAAUAUUAGUAGUAAUUUUUAUUUUUAUUUUUAUUGUUUUUUAAUUUUUUUAUUUUUUUCUAUACUCAAUUUUUUACAAGACUUUAAAAGAAUUAUGCAAAUUGUAGAGAGUACCUUCACAAAAUGGUAAUUCUAAAUCAUAUUAAAUAUGAUCAAUUUUUUUUAAGAUAGUGGAGUUGUCUAAAUUUUUAAUAAUACAAUUUUUAAGAAGUCAAAAUAUUUUUAUGCUACAAAAAAUAAUCCAUGUUAUAACUUCAAGAAUUUUUAUUAAUGGUAUUCUUAUUGAUGAAUCUAAAUGCAUUAUAUGGGAUUUCUUAUAGAAAGUUGUUAAUAACCAAAUUUCAUUAAAAUAAAAAAUUAACUGCAAUAUUAUACAUUAAAAUAAAAUCAGUGAUAAAUUAGCUAUGGAAUUAAUAUUUCAAUAGGAACAAUAGAAUUUUUUUAAUUUUAAUUUUAAAGUUUAUCAAGAUAAGUAUAAUGAGAGUUAGAGUAAAAUAUACAAAACACAUACAUGUAUAUAUUAAAAAUUAUGUUAUCAAUACUCUUGGCUUACAAAUAAAUUGGAUUUAACAGCAAAUAAAUCCUUUAAAUAGAGAUUUAUAUAAAAAUACAUAAUAUUAUAGAUUUAUAAUUAGAAAUUUUAUUUUACAAAAAUAUAUAGAAAACAUAUAUAUAUAUAUAUAUUUCACUUGAUAUUAAUAUUGAUGUUAAUAAAUAAAAACUUGGAUUCUUGAUUUUUAAAUUUUGCUAUUUUUAUUUGAAAUAACCAAGUUGUUUUGAUAAUAUAGGAUCAUUUAAUAAGUACUUCUACUUAGAAUAUAUUAUUAAUUAUUAAUUUUAAAACUAAAGAAAUUAGAAAAUUAGAACUUAACAAACAAGCUUUAAAAUUCUAAAAAAAAAUUAAAAAAAAUUCUUAAGAGAUUUUUAAAAAUUAUAUGAGAUGAAAUUUAUGUUCUUUAAGAAAACAUUGAAUUCAGUUUUAAUUUAUGGUUUACUUUAAAAUUUGUGACAAAAACUAGUCAAACUUGUAUUAGGUUAAAAUUAAAAAAUCCUAAUUUUUAACUAUUAAUAUAUCAAUAAAAGUUUAUCAUGCAUAAUUUAAUUAAAUUUUUAAAAAUAUAAAAUGAAUAUUAGUUAUAAUCAACUCGUUUUUUGUUAUAUAUAUAUAUAUAUAUAUAUGUGUUUUUUUAAAUGAUCUAAAUAUUUAAUUUUAUUUUGUAUUAUUAAAUAAAUAAAUAAAAUCUAAAAGAUAUCAAUAGUUACAACCAAGAUAUCAAUAACUACAUAUAAAUAAUCUUAUCAAUUCUAAUGAGUAUUUUAUAAGAAACAUAAAAAUUCUUCUUUAUAAUUAUAUAUAUAUUUACUAGUUAAAUUUUAAAGUAGGAAAUAAAAGAAUUCAGCUUUUGAUGGAAGCAUGAUUUUAGAAGAGGGAUAAAGAACAGUGUUUUUAGAUUCUAAAGCUACUCUUAAAUUGUUGUAUUAGAGCAGUUGUAGAGUUUUUUUAGAGUUGCUUUAGAAUCAAGGAAGACAUGAUAUUGCUUAUAAUUAUCUCAUAAAAAUAUUUUUUUGUAGAAGAGAUGUCCACUCAAAACAUAUAUUUAGAAAUUUGUGUGGAUAAUGGCCCUAGUUCCUACUUCUUAUCCAUAUGUAGUCUAAUUAUUAUGUCAAUACUAUAAAUUACAACUUGGUUUUGUUUACAAAUUAUUUUAUUAAAACUAAUAAUAAAAUAGUAGUUAUUAAUAAUUUAUACAUAUAUGUAUAUAAUAAAUUAAAUAAAACAUAAUUUUAUGAUAUUAUUUUAUUAAAUUUGUACACAUUUAAAUACAUAUAUAUAUAUAUAUAUAUAUAUAUAUAUAUAUUAGUGUAUAUUAAAUAGAUUUUAUGGAUUUAAAAAUAGUAUAAUAUAUCUAAAAGUUUAUUUAAGAUAUCAAGUAUGAUUAUCAACAUUAGAAUGUUUUGAUAAUUAUUUAUAAUGAAAUAUAAAAACAUUAACGAAUUGCAUGUAAUGUAAUAAAAUAUCAAUUAUGUAAGUUUAGGUUUGAUCGUACUUUUAUUAGAAUAAAUUCUAGUAUAUAAUUUAAACAAAUAUUGAAACUCAGAUUUUUCAUGAUAUAAUUUUGAAAUGUUAUUGGAAAUAAAUGCUAAAAAAAACUUAAAUUCAAGUAAAAGUAAUAGAUUUUAAAAACAUAUAAUUUAAAUGUGUAUUAUAAAAUAUACAAUGACACAGGAUGGUGUCUGCAUUGCAAUCAACCACUUUGAACCCAAACUUGUAUAACACAAUAUAAAGGCCACCUUCUCCAAGACAUCUAGCUAUAACGUGAAGAUACAAAUACACAAACUGUAUUAUUAUUCUCAUUAUUAUUAUUUUAUCACACCAAGAAAGAGCCUAAAGAGUAAUCAAAACUUCAAACUAGUGACACCAAGGCAUGUGAACAAGAAGCAAAGCUUGAACCAAAACUAGUGAUUGUUGAGCACAAAGAGAAGCAACAAUUGCACAAACUCACAAACAAACAAACAAACAAACAAGCAAUGACACAACCAACGAAGAUAAUAGUACUAGCAAAAAUUAGUUAAAGGCUGCAAUACCAAUGGCAAUGAUUGAAAGGCAGCUCCCAUUUUAUCAUAGAUAUGCUUAUAUUAACCAUUGCUUGGGGGCAAUCAACAUUGUCACUUCUUCCCAUUACACAAUCCUUGGUCAAGAUAGAGUAGCUACUCCCUCACUCACUCACUCAAUCACACACCCACCCACAACAAGCUCACUCACCGAGAAUGGAGGAUGCAUGGUGCCAAAAUUAAGCCAGCAAAAGCUAGCCAAUUGCCCAAAAGGGCUCAUUUCCCCCAAAAAUAUAUCCAGAGAAUGUAUAUUUUUUUGUAUAUAUAUUUAUAUAUAUAUACUACUUAAUAUUAAUAAUGAUGUUAAUCAAUGAAAACUUGGAUUCUUGAUUUUUAAAGGGCUUAUAUUCAUCACUCCCAUUUUGGCAUGAAUAUUGCAGAAUGUGCUGCUGACAUGCAUGGUGUGCUGUGAAAGAGGGCUGUGAACAACUCAAAAAGAUCAUCUCCUCCCACCCUGGUCCCACUUGCCCUUUUCUUAAAUAGUGUGUGUGUGAGAGAGAGCUUGAGAACUGGGUGUGGUUUCAGUGAAUGAGCUUGGAAUUAUGGAACCCAUCACACAGUGUAAGUCUCUUGCAUUUAAUUCAUUUGAGCGAUUUUAGAAAUGUUUGUUGUUUGUACUGGUGAAUGUGCUCAAGGCAUGUUCCUGCUCAUGCUUUGAAAAUUGCAACCCCCUGAUAUGAAAAAUCCCAGCAAUUUACUUAAUCAGAAAACUUUGAAAGAUUGUUGCACAAUUAUUAUUUUUUGUAAGUUUUACAAGAAGAGUGACUGAUUGUAUUGCAAUGUGUUUGAAGACAUUGGUGCCCAUUCUCAUGAAACCCUAUUCAUACUCUGAAUCCAGUCAUAAUGAACAAGUGCACAUGAGGCUAGCAUUCCAAGAUUCUAUUCCAUGGCUGGGCACUUCAUUUGCUGAUAAAAGAAUAUAUAUAUAUAUAUAUAUAUGUAUGUAUGUGUGUGUGUGUGUGUGUAUAUGCAUGUGUGCAAGUCAAACUGUCAACUAUUGUUGUAAAAAGGUGUCAUGUUGGCAUUAUAAACAGACAAAUUCCCCAAGUGCUUGUUGGAGUCUUGGGCUUGGUUUGCCACAUCAUCAUAUCCAUGUGGCUAGACUCUUCUUCUAGUAACAAACAAUUAUUGGAUGUUUAGUGAGGUGAUUUUCUCUGGAAAAGUGGACCACCACCAUUUCCCUAGUUUCUUUGUUUAUGGGGAUUUGAAAGCAUGUAUGAAGUGAAUAAUGAGUUACAUGAUUUUUUUCCAUUUUUUUUUAAGAAAAUGUUUAUAUUGGUGUGAUUAUUCAAGCUUGUCCAAUAGUAGUAUCAGAUUCACAGAGUGGUUAUAUUUGCAUGUUAGUACAAACAAAAUGUACAAAAAAUGCACAUGUUAAAGAGCUGUUUUAAAGACUCCUUGGUGAGCAUGUUUCACAAUCAGAAUGUUCAAUAUAUGGUAACUUUAUUACUUUAGAACCUUCUUUAGAAAUCAUUUUAUGACUAAAUUUAUAUGUUUAUCCAUUAUUUAAAGGUGAUUUGUUAUUCUGAACUUUCAUUAAUCAUGAAACCUAUGUCUAGUACAAAUAUUAAAUUUUGAAAUCAACAUAGAUGAAUUCAAAAAUAUAACUUGUAGUUUAAGUACUGCAUGCACAAUCUGGAAUUUUAAGUUACAGUAGUGUUUUCAUUUUAUGUUGAAUGUGUUUGUGUGUGCAUGUGCGUGGAUAUAUCUUUAUAUAUAUAUGCAUGAUGACUUGCAAGUUGAAUGGUUGUGUAAAAUAGUAAACUUUCAAUUCCAAAAGAUGCCCUUUCAUUUCAAAUAUCAAAUUUUUACAAGAGAAUAAUUCAGAAUAUUAAUCUUUUGUUUCCCAUGGAGAUUUAACCAAAAAAACGAAAUAUAAAAUUUUAGAAAAAAUAACUGAUAACAUAUAUAUAUAUAUAUAUAUAUAUAUUGCCUUGAAUACCACAAAAAAAAUUGGUAACAUCCUUUUAUCUAAAUUCCAAUCCUACACAUUGGAACAAGUCAAAGGCUGCCAACCACUAAUUGGAUGAUCAAUGAUCAAUUAUAAACACAAAAAUUGCUGCUCCAAUCAUUUUAGUUGAAAGUAGUUACUUUCUUUCAAAAUUAAUGGCAAUAUCUAGAAGUCACUUACACAGCUUACAACAAAAUGGUGGAAACCUGUUUCAACAAGUGAAUAAAGUAGGAAAAUAACAUAAAAAUCAUAAUGAACAAUGGCAAUAUUGUCUCAAGUUUUGCGAGUUUUUGAAAUAGGAAUGUGACAAAACAUUCCAAGCAAAUGUAAGUGUUAGUUCUGAAUACAAUCAGAUGUUGGAUGGAAUAGAAAAACAACCACCUGGUUGUAUUAUCCCUGCCCUUCCUUUCACAUAAAAUGUGCUGUGUUCUACACAUUGCUUUCUCCUAUUUCUUUUCAUUUCUAUUUCCCCGUUUGUUCUCAUUGUUGCCAUUUUAUUUACUUAUUAAUUUAUUAAUACAUUACUGUUGUUCUAUCAGGUUCUCAAAAUGUCUCAUUGUAGGAGGCUAGAACCUCAAUUAUGGGGUCCACAAUGGACCCAAAAUUGCACUUAAUAUGAGUGACCUUCCACCUUGCUACUUCUCCAAUGGCGCCUCCAUUUGGACAAAUCAAAGUUGGGCUCUUUCCCUUCCCAUGAUGGAAAAUUUUCUGUCAUCUAUAAACCCAAAAAAACAAAUUUCCACAAACGCUUGUGACAAAAUGUUUUGGAAAUGGGGUUUCGUAAUCUGUCUAACCUAUCAUCCUUUGUACAGCAUUUCCAAAAAAGAGGUUGGUGGAAACAUCCUCCUGGCAUGAUGUUUGCCAUGGCUUUUGCAUUGGUGUCUGUGUUUACACCUCACAAAAGGGUAGGCCCAGGCUGGGCUGGCCCAGCCCAGCCCAGCCAAGCCCUCUCCUGAGAAAAAGACCUAAGUAUAUAGGCUUCCUUGAGGUAGGACAAAGCAUGCAAAUGCCUUAUCAAGUACUGUUCCUCACAAUGGUGCCAAAAUAACAAAAUUUCGAGCCCUUUGUCAACUUGGCACCUUCAGCACCAUAGCCAUGGGCUUUGGUGGAUCAGCCUACCCCUCUUUUUGCAAAUCUUUUCCAAGUCCAUCUCCAUCUCCAUCUCCAGCUACCAGCUCAUUUGCCACCCAGCUGCAAUAUUGACAGAGCCAAAUGGUUGAGCUCUACAGACACUGAACUGAAGACAGAUGUUUUAUGAAUUUUGUUACUUAGUGUUAGCAAUGAUCUUGUGUUGUGUCAGUAUAAUUGGUGUGAAUGUCAAGGUGUUAGUGUUGGGAUUUCAAUUGGGUUUAGUUGGGUUGUUUGUUAUUACAGAAUUAGGUUUUGGUUUAAUGCACUCUGACAGUUCUUGUUGCACAAGGAAUUUAUUUUCAUGCGCUAGAUUUGCUAAUCACUACAAUUUUUUUUGGAAUUUGAGAGUUGUUUGUUGUUGCUCUUUGAACCCUUUUUCUCACCAAGGGGUGGAACAAAGCUAGGAAGAUAAGAUCAAACAAACAGAAACUUCACUAACAACAACUACUACCAUAACAAUAACAAUAACAAUAAUGUUAUCUUAUUUAUUAUUUAAGGUAUUUUAAAAUUUUUGAUACUGAUGUUAAGAUAUUAUCCUCUUUUUUCUUUCUUUUCUUUCUCUUCUCUCUUUCUUACCCCCCAUUCUUCUUCUUUUUUCCUUUCUACAUAUUAAUUCUUGAAAUUUUGGGAUGCUGGGUUUUUGAAGUGUUAGGAUGAUGUGGAGUGGUCUACUGCACCAUAUUUUGAACCAAUGAAAAAAUGUAACCUAAUAAAAUAUAUGUUUAAGCACUGUAAACAUAUAGACAAGUCUCUUGUAUAGACCAAAGAAAGACAAGAUUUAAGAAAAAAAGAAUGGAAUGUUGUUUAAAGCUUUUUAAAAUUUUAAAAUUUUUAUGUCCUUGUGCUAUAAAUAUAUCACCUAUGUUGGAGAUAAAGUAACAACACAUUAUAUCAUCAAUGAUCAACAUUUCUUUUGUUGGCUUUUUUCUUCUAAAUUUGCAGUUAAACUCUUACAUAUUGCAGGAGAUUCUCUCAAAAUUGCAAAUGAAUGGAACAAACUGAAUAAGUGUGUGUGUGUGUGUGUGUUUGUUUGCUUUCAUCUUAUUUCAAUAAUCUCUUAAUUGAAAUAGUGAGGCUAUGUGGAGCCCAAUCUUUUUAAAUGCCUGAAAUGUAUUGCAGACAAAGCUACUUUCUGCAACAAAACCCAAAAAAUAAAAUAUUUGCAUUUACUAUUGUAGAAGUUGGAGUGUGUUCCCAUUCAACCACCACAUAUUACCAUAGUAUGCUUCCAAUGGUCCAAAAUCAACUUAGUUAAUUGCAGUAUCAUAACAAAUCACCUUCCUCAAACACAUUGUGGACAUUAGCUGGACAUUAGAAUGUGCCAUUUGGAAGGCAGCGCAUUUUGUGUUGUUUGUGCUUGAAUGUGUUGAUAUGUACAUACAUACAUACAUCUUAUAUCCCAAAUCCCCAAACUAGUGUAUCUUUAAUAAAAAAUAAAUAUAAAAUAUAAAAUAUAAAUCCCACUUUUGGAGUACAAACUAUUUAAAAGCUUAUAGUUAAUAAAGAGGGAGAUCUAUUUAUUUCUACCAACAAAUGAUUUUACCAUGAUAAUAAUUUGAAAAUGUUUUACUUCACUAAAAUAAUCAUUGUGAUCACAACAUAUAAAAUUUAAUUAAAAUAGAGAGUAACUAAAAUAAACACUCAUACAUAUAAAAGAAAUAAUCAAGUUAAAUAUACAUGAAUGGGUAGAAACUCAAGUGGGCACAACUGUAGCUCUACACACCUUUGUGCAAUGAAGCACUUUCCCAACAAUUUCAAACAAGUUAUGAAAUCAUGUCAUGGAAUAGAUAACCAUUCCAAAUUACCUCACAGCCACACUACCUGUUGCUAUAUACACACACACACACACGAUUGUACAAGUUUGAAAAAGUUGCUUUACUUUUUGAAGCUAGAGGUCGGUUUUUCUCAACAGCUGGUGGCAACUCUACAGGCUGCCUGAAAGCCACGAGGGGAAAAGUAAAAGUUAAAAGAUAAAAGUAAGAAGUGGGGAAGAGCCUGAAUGAGAGAAGGUCUCAUAUCUGGGUGUGAACUCCAUCUAGUCUAGUCUAUAGCACCCAGAUGCCAAUCCACCCAACGGGAUUGGGCGUGCGUUUCUUCCUUCCAGCAGAGAGGGAGAGAGAGACCCUUCGGCUCGGGAUCAGGGAAGCUCAAAUUAGUUAAGCGGAGUGGGGGCGUGAUGAAGGGCGGCAUCUUAUCCCCCAACCAGGGAUUGAUUGACUGGAAGGGAAGGGAAUGCAAUUAAUUAUGACCUGGCUCAUGGGCCAAAUCCGGGGGGAGUGGGGGUGGGGGUGGAAGUACCAGAAAAAGCCCAUCAGUAAUAAUAGGAAGGUUCAGCGGCUGCAGCGGAGGAGAGGGAGGGAGGAGGACGAGGAGGUGGAGGAGAUUAGUGGUAUUUAUGAGGGAGAAUGUCAAAUGGGGAAGGAAGGACUGAGAGUUUAUUUGAAUGAAGUGAGACGACGGGGAAUGUUUUGAAUAAUCAUAGGGAAUAAUAUGACGUUGGUAUAAUUAAUAGCGGGAGAGAGAGCGAGAGAGAGAAAGAGAGGUCUUGAGCAAAAACCGAUAGGAGACCAGGAGCGGAACGGAACGGAGCCACGACUUGCGGCGCUGCUGAAAUUCCCCCUCUCUCGUUUUGAUUCUUGGAAUAUCUGUUGUGGCAGAAGUAGUGCAUUCUCGUCUUCUUCUGCGUCCUUUUUUUUUUUUUUUUUUUUUUCUUUCGUUGCUGUUGUUGUUGCUAAUGAUGUUUUUAUUUAUUUAUUUAUUUAUUUAUUUAUUUAUUUAUUUAUUUAUUCACUGUCAUUAUUGUUUCCUCCCCUAUCUUUAAGAAGCUAAUAAGCCAUCUGAGAAUUACAAAUGUUGAACAGCGAGGGAUUUUACUUUCGUUUCGUUUCGUUUCGUUUCGUCUUGUUUCGUUUCGUUAUUUAUUUGUUGAACUGAAUUUUUAGAAUAUAAUAUUUGCUGCAAUAACUGAGUGAAAUUUUAUUUGACCUUCGAGAGGUUCUCAUAGUUAACUUAACUUAACUUUUUUAAUUUAAUCUGAUUAUUUUCAUUUCUUAAUCGUGUAUAUCCAAUGAUGACCUAUUACACUCGAAAAGUGAGAACGCAUUGAAUGUUUGAAAACGGGAUGGAGGUGUAAGUGUGAAGGUUUGGUGAAGUUUGUGGCAGUGCGAAUGGUACAAGUUUGAAUAAGGGAGGCCCAUACUCCCCUUGUACACGGUGACCCUGAGUUUAAGGGGGAGUUCGCUGGGCAAUGCCGAUGUCGAAUGUGAAGCCUAGAAACGCUUCCUAGCCCAUGACGACAACCAAGGGAACAGCGCGAUUCACCGGCACUCACCGGCUGCUGCCAGCACAAGGCAAAUCAGCCCGCCUGACUUUACAACCGGCUGCUUCCCAGUCAGGUUGUAGAAGAAAAGAAAUUCUUCUUCUUUCGAGCUCUUCUUCCUUCACUUGCGUGCAGAGGUGUAUAUGUAAGCAGGAAGCGGAAUCGGCUUUUUUCAGCCCCGUUCUCGCUCACGGCAUCGUUUGGCCUGCCCCUGCUCUGUCCUUCGCUGAUAUUCCUGGGACCGUCUUCUGACCCGUGACACCAGCUUCCUUCAUCACAGCUUAUCUUGCUGUUUGGUGUUUACUCCUGCCUCCUCCUGAGUCCGGCCUGCUGCCUUGCUUACCUUGCCGUCUGGCGGGAUACUGGCAACUCCAUCCCUCCUCUCGCUGUACGAUUCUUGAUGCGAUCCUUCGUCGAUAUUGGGGUGUGGUUGGGGUGAGAAGGAGAUCCGGAGCUGAUUUUCAGCAUGUGGUGUCGAACCUGGUCUCCGGAUGGUCAAUGUGAUUCUGCGGUCCGGGGUCGAUGUAGAGCGUCAGACUGGCUCGAGUGCAAAGCACAUGCGAUGGAUGCUAGCAUUUACGCUUCCUUGUAAUUUUUUUAGCGUCAAGGUGGACGGUAAUGUGCCGAAGCCGUAACGGAAAAACACCUCCAAUCUAGAAAUUAUGGAAUAAGUCGUGCCUUCUCCACUUCUUGCAGUUCUCGGCUUUCCUCGCCAGGCCCAGGCAGCUUGGAGUGGUUCGUGAACCCCUGGCCGAGAAUCUCAAAUAAACACCAAGUAGUGUGUUCUUGCCGAACGCGUGGUUGCUGUCAGUCAUUUGGUGAACAUUUCUCUUUGCUUCACUCUGAAGUCUCAUGAAUUGCAGUUUAGUAGAAAGAGACAAGCAGCUUGUUCACUUUCCUCAGGCUUUUGACAACGGUGACCGAGUGUGCUUGCGGUUCUAACUUUCACUAGCGCCGGUAGCUGCUGAGCAUCAAAGGAUUAUCAGCUAGCCCAGCGCCGUCGAUACCUGCUUCAUUCUUUAUCGCUUCUCCUUUUCUGCCGUCACAACUGAACGAUUAUUGCGAGUAGAAUUUGACUACAGUUUUUCCUUCUAUGCAACUUGCCUUCCCAUGUUAUUUGGCUAAUUCUUGGGCUAUUUCUCUUGCGAUCUUGUCUGUAGUGCAGGUAUUAUUGCGACGAGUUCAGUAUUCUUGUGACGGUUUCCAUGUUACCUCAUGUGAUCUGCUUGGUCAUCUCAUCGUGGCUAGCUUCUCCACAAUUUCUCACCCUCGUUGGGAUCAGAAGAGAGAGAGCACAGCCCGAUGUCCAAUGUUCAGGUCGAAUGGGCUGUGCUCUCUCUCUUCUUGCUCCAACUUGGGUGCUACACGCAUCUAGGGUACCCGAAAUACUGCUGGUUCAAUUCAAGCCUUGGGCGGCGAGGCAAGGAACUCUAUUGUCACAAUAUGGUAUAACACUCCGGCUUAGAACAUCAAUUCAGCCGUACUACACCCAAGCCGGGAUUCGAAGAGAGAGAGCACAGCCCGUAACUUUCACUAAAGACCACUUAUUGUGGUUCAUUGGAGAUUUGAUGUCGGGCUGUGCUCUCUCUUUUCCAGUCCCUACUCGGAUGUGUCGCCAUCACGGAUGAUGAAAUAUGGCAACAGAUGACUAUUUUCUGAGUCAUAUUUCAACUUAGCAUUGAAGAUCGACGACCGGCUAGUUCCUCCUGAGACAAGUAACUUCGGGAGACUCUAUGUCGCAGCUGCCUCGCACAUCUAAAUAGUUGAAAAGACUUCGUCAGUCGUCCGCAUUAGCUGCGGUUUUAGUGACUGGAUAACGACAAUGAGCAUUCUGCCGUUUUGCGGAGCCCGUCUAACUAUGCCGUCCACGUACAACACUUUUGUUUUGCUCAAUACUCGUCUACCUUACACGACGAGACGCCGCCAGGUUUUUGAAGUAUAUUUUUGAUGCUGUGCAUUUCUUCUGUAGAAUGGCAACACAGGUGUUCAGAGAUCCUGAUUUCUCUGAUACACUUAAGUGCUACCCCAAGGGUCUUUUUGCGUGCAGAGACCGUGUUGUGCUCGUGAAAAGUAGAUUCAACGGUACUGGUAGAUGUCGCCCUCUCAACCAUACACACAUUAUGGACGUAGGUUUCCUUUCUAUGUGUUUGACUUCCAACCUACAGUGUAUUUCGCGAAGCGCUCUAACCUCCCUAGAGUAGGUACUUAUUCAUAGACAUCGAAACCAAGCUGAAUGUGCGAACUGUGCUGUGCAAUCGUUUGUGGUGGUGCUGACGCUCAAGCACACCAGUUGACGAACUUAAAAUGCUCUUGAUAGUAGUGCCUUUCUUGAGACCUAAUGUCUGUUGUAAUAAGCGUCUACAUGCAGUUUCUCAUUGUCCGACAUGUGCACCCUUAGAGUGACAAAUGUUGGGCUGAAAGGAUAAGUACUGUCUGUGGUGUGGAGCUUCACUGAUUAAGCUUGGCAAGUGCUUCUGUUGCCUCCAAUGAAGUUACUACUGGUGUGUCUGGCUCAAUAGGGUACAGCCUGUUGAGCCACUCUACUUUGCGUACAUGGCUUGAGUCUGUUCACAGACAAGUUUGUCUAGCACUUGAUACUUAAGAUGACUUAAUGUAAGGUAAGAACAAGAAGGUACGUCGAGAUCGAAAAUUGCAUUUGAUGCCAGUGUGAUGCAACUAUUAGUUUGAUGUGUUGAUUUUAUGUGACGAUACCAUAUGACAUCGAAAUAUUCAUGAUCAGUGGGUACAACUACUUGGCUGUGGUAAAACUUGCAGGAUGGAUCUUAUUUAGGCUAGAACCCUCCCAUGCAAUCCUGAGUGUUCACUGUACACAUUUGUGUUUGGAUUUUCCAUUGUACUGUAGUACAUCAGUUUUUAGGCUAAGGCUCGAUGCUGACCCCUUUAUCUUUUGUGGCACUCAUGCAGAAAAUGUUUGAACAGUCGUCAGACGACAGACUUGUUUUCUUCUCACAUAGCGCUUUGGAACUUAAGUCGUGUGGUGAAAGGUGUGCACAAGGAUACGUAGGUCAUUAACCACGUAAAUUUCUUCAGGCAGAAGCGUACGCUUACUUAGACUUAACGAGGUUUGUGUUUUCGUUUUAUCUCUAUGUUUCAUCAAGACUUCGAUGAUGCUAACAUCGAAUAUUAUUCUCGAUGGCAUGAACGUGUUACUCAAAUCGAGUCAUGCUUUAGUAUAGGAAUUGACUGUGUCCUCUUCAAAAUCGUUGUGAAUUUGGAGCCAGGACUCCCCAAGUAAUGAACAUGUUGCAGGCAGUGGCUUCUUGCCUGUAAUGUGGAGUGGAGGCCGCACAUCUCUUCAUCAGAAUGGGCUAGGAGCACCCUCAAUUUUACUGCAAUAUGGUUGGUUUUGCUUGGCAACUGACUGCAAAAGUUUUGUUUGACUGCUUUUGCUGGAUCUUCUAUCAUCAUUUGAUGCUUGUUGAUUAAGUACUCUGAUUUAGCUGCUACAUUUAUUGCCUUCAGAGGGCUACACGGAAUUGCUAUGUUAUCAUAUGCUAGUUGUAUCUUUACUUAAUGAGUGCCCCAAGUUGUUUGCAGGCUCAGGUUUCCAGCUGAGAAUACAAUGCAGCUUACAGUAUACAGCAGAAUUUGUGGUGUGGUACAGGAGUGUACACAGCGAGAAGUACUUAUGAAAAUGAAGGCUUCCCAGCAGAGUGAUACUUUUUUCUCCGCCAAAGCCAGACGAAUUCGUAAGUAACGGUACUAUUUAACGGUAUGUAUUUAACGGUACUAUUUAACGGUAUCUUCUUUAGCAAGCUCUUAAAAAAGUUCUAAAUUCUCAUGAAUAAUCUGGACUCUUCUAUUAUAAUCCUUGACCAUGUGAAGUCCAAGUUGAGGUUAGGACUGUCGGCGAUUGUCCUGAUCAUGCAUAAUUGCCAUGCAUGCGAAUCAUUGGUUGCUUCUACAGAUUUGUUGAAAAAGUUGAACUAUACUGAAGGUACCUUGAGUCCAAUAUCCACAUUAGACAAUGUCUAUAGCCCGUAAAUCUGUGAACAUGUGGCCUUUAUUUAGUAUGAUAUUCUGGAGGCCGUCGAAAUUGUUACUGCAACUUAGUUCUUUUCCUAGUAUGAUGUGCUUGGUUGUAAUUUAUCAGGAAUGCGAUUUCGCUAUUGGGUAGCGUCCGUGGCGAAAUAGUUCUGAAUGAGCAUGCAAAUUGAGCCUGUUCAAAGCAGUCAAGAUAAACGAAAGAUGCUGGGCAGAAGUAUAUUGUCCAACCAACUUAUCAGUUUCACUAGAAGACAGCUCAGUGUGAAUUGUGUUCUCGAAACGUAAGGUCUUGAGAAUUUGAUAAGAUAUAUAUUUCCCACACUGUCCAGCAUACAAUCAUAUUAUUAAAGAAUAGCUAGUAGUAGUAGCAGUACCACGACAUGAACUUGAAGAUGACUUUUUAAAGAGUUUUAUCCUUUUUGUGGCAGAUAAUAAUCUUUGUGACGUUUCUUGGUGGAGCUUGUCUCUUCUUAAAUUGAGGCAACUAUAAUAAUCUUGGACAAUAAGCCAUUGUCUUUCCGUAUUAUCCUGUUCCGGUUAUUGCAAUAUUGUCCAGCAUCACACCUUAUUCUCUUGGCGUGUCGAAGGUUAUUGGUUGACAUUCUCGUUGAUCGGGUUUGUAGGGCUUCCGUGUGAAGAAACCCUCUGACGUCCCUAGUGUCGUGUUUUAAUUCCCAUAUGCUACAUGCACUCAUCAUUUAACAAUUUUAAAUUUCGACUUUGAACUUGAUUCUUGCAGAUCACCAAGGUAUUUGAUUGGGUGUUUGCAACUGCUUGGACGAUUACCCCAGAUGUACGAGCUGUUAUAUUGAGUAUCCAGAACAAUGCAGUAUACAACUUUGGUAGGUUUGAGAUCGCACGGAGUGUAGUGAAUAUAAAGGUUAAUUUUGCUUUAUGAAUGAGUUCUCAGUAUAGAAAUAGCUGUACCGUGAUCGUAGCUCCGACGUUUGAGCCUUGUUUACCUCAUUAACGAGCGAAUGAUUUACUCAGGCAAUCCACUCGCCUCAAGAGACAGUGCAAUAGACGCACCGUUUUUUUUAUACAGACGAGAAUUAUCAUCUGGCUCUGCUCCUCAUUGCAUGGAAUUCUUGCAUGAGUGAUUGUGUGAUCCGCAGCGAACUUCUUUACCUCUGGAACCUAAGUUUGUCCAAGGUUCUGUACUCACUGCCUAGAGUAUUUUGGGGAAUAACCUUGAUUUCAGAGCAAUAUCUGCGUAUCGUCUCUUUCCUGCGAUCGUAACCGCAGUUUAUGCAUAAAUCCAGCCUCCUUUCAGCUGGAUUUGACUCGAUCUGGGACAAGUGCAAGUGCCACUCAUUAGUCAUCAAUAGCAUGGCCGUAGUAAUAGCAAGUACUCGAUAUUCUUCGUAUUGACCAAACAGUGGAAUUUCUCUGACGCUGUAUCGCCGCGACACUGGCUUGAGCUCGACUUGUAUGGGUUGUGAUGGCAGAGAAAUCAAUGCGACGCGUUGCACGCCGAGGUGCGUGUAGACCUUAAACGAUUGGACGGCCGCCGAGUAAACUUAUGAAUCCCUGUCAAAAUCCCAACCAUCUCAAGCGUUGAUUCCUUCGGCUCGGAUUCAGUUGCUGACUCCUCCAUUUCUUUCAGUUGGAGAUGAUCCAGAAAAACCCAUGUUCAUCUAUUGCGGACGUCAUGUUAAAUUUAAACAAGUCCUGCAGUCCUGCGAAUUUUAGCGACUGUUUUGUACUCGUCAUAUAUACCUGCUCCAUAGUCUGUUGUAGCGUUAGACAACAAGUGAUGGUGAUGUGAUACACAUUAAGCUGGUAGACUGGCUCUUCAUAGAAUACAUGUCACAACGAAUAUGAUAUGGAAGGCCCCCCUUCCAUGUGUUCAUCGUUGGGUGAAGAGAGCGCUACAAGACAAGAUGCAAACAAGCAAUGACUCAGCUCCCACUACUGAUCAUUGAUGAGUUACAGUAGGGUAUCCAUCUUACCUGUAGCGGUCUUCCUCAGCAGGUUCAUUUGUGGGUUUUGCACUAACUUUAGUUGCAGUUCUGGAUUGGAUGGUGCAAAUUAAAGUGGGUUUUCACUUAUCGGCAUCGGUGACCUGCGAAACUUCAGCACCAUCUAGAUACUCUGCAUGAAAGGAUGCCGUUAGUGUCAGCCGUAGUGAUGUAAUACAGCUUUUCUGAAGUUACCUGAUUCUCGUCUGCACCUCGCGCUACCUGUCAGAUCAGGUACUGCAUCAGAAGUUGAGCCUGAAGCUGAAUGUCCAAGCUUGCUUUGGAAACAAGCAGGCAUUCAGCGCUUGCACUAUGUAAUUGUGUAGUCAACCUGGUUAGGCCAGAAAAGAGGAUAAAUUGAAUAAGCAAGUACACAAAGAGAAUGUUAUAUAAUGACACCUCUCCAUGCUUUGAGGGCCAUUCCUCAAUGGUGGAGUACACCUGUGAUCUGUUGCUCUGCCUCGCAGUGAUAUCUGCUUUCUAUUUAUGAAAGUUUGCCGUUUAGAAUGUCAUAAAAUUCCUGUCUCAAUUUAUGUAUUUUAUGUUUUACACAAAUAAGGUAUACUUGCUGUAAUGGUACAACUGUGACAGUGUCCAAAACCCUAAAACUUAUUUAAGGAUGGAAGCAUAUGCUUGUGUAGUGGGUUCCUCAUCUUUUUAGAUUGAUUAUUGCUCUCCAUACACUAAUCACAAUUCUUUGAUUUCAAAUCAUCCAAUUUACUGUACUUUUUUCUUUUCUUUUUGACAAUCAGACAUAUAAUUAUAAGUAUAUUUAUAUUUAUUGACAUUGUUCUAUGUUUGGUUGAUGCUAAAAUAUUAUCUUAAUGAAGGUGUUGAACUAAUCUCUGUCUAGUUUUUUCAAAAUAUGACAUCAUGGGGGCUCUUAAGGACCACCAGUAUGAAAUUCAAUGCAAUUUUUUUGUACGAUAACCAACCAAAUAAAAAUACUAACCUUGAACAAUCAAUUUUUAAUUGAUCAUUUGAAAGCUUUGGGUCACUUUUCUACCAAAUCUGUUGAUAUUUGUUGACUGUUUAGUGAUAGAUGGUGCCGAUUUAACUAUAAGUAAUAAAUUGUUUUUUCCCUUCUCAGUGUUAACACAACCAUCCAAAGUCUCCAUGCUUGUUGUUGUUGACAAAUAUUGAACUUUAUUUUUUUUGGAUUCUGCAUGAGUUAGCCCUGUGAAAAAUAAAAAAUUAAUUUACUCCCAAAUACUUUAAAAAAAAAAAAAAAAAAAAAAAGAAGAAGAAGAAGAAGAAGAAAAUGAUAGUAACGUUUCAUGUAAAAUAUGAGUUAUUGAUGAGCAAGUUCCAUUACAUCUCAUCCAUGUGAGAAUGCCUAUCUCUGAUGUCAUUGAGCACAAGAAAAAACUGUCAGUUGGUGUGUAAGGCUCCCAUUGUCCAUUGUGCUGCCCCUAGACCCCACCACCAAAGUGUAGUUUUGUGAUAUAGUUGAUCAGGAACAACUCAAAGCAUGUCAUCCUAAAGUUUAGAUUGCAACAAUAUCGUUUUUGAGAUUGAUGAAGGUUGCAGGCUCUGAUAUCUCUGCUUGUUAUAAAUUAGGUGUUUCCAUUAUACGGCAGUGCUCAUGUGAUGAAUGCUGCAGCGAAUCCCACUCUUUCUUUAUAAUAAUAAAUAAAAAGCACUUGGAAUAUCCAGUUCAUUUCACAAUAUAAGAUUACAAUCUAUAUUCAAUGAUUAGUAAUUAAUUAAGAAAAUUUAACGGGAUGGUUAAUAUAUAUUAGUUAAGAUAAGAUAAUAAUAGCAGAACCCCAUGCAUUUCAGGACCUUCUUUUUGUAUCAACACGUUAUAUUAAAUCAUGUUAUUAUUACACUCCAAAAAACUCAAAGAUGCAGGAUAUUUCACACCAAUCUCCCCUAAUUUUUUUGGCAUCCAAUUUGAUGCUUUCCUAUUGGUUUAACUUCAAACAACCAAAAAUAUCUAAAUAUUCUCUCCUAUUUUUCCCCUGCUCCCGCUGAAACAGAAUGAUAUAUUUUUGGAACUUUCAAGUGGUUUGAUUAGAAAUUGGACCAAUGAGAGAGGACACGGUUAGAAUAACCCUGAAAGUAGGAAGCAUUAAUGGUGGCUAUAAUCAAGCUUAUUUACUUUUUGUCAAUUUGAAAGGGGUCCCAAACAAAGAUAGUUAUGAGUAAUUAUCAUUUGUUACUUAUUGUUUGACACAUCUCGAGUAUACUUGUUGCAUAAAUUUAAAAGAGAAGAUACAGAUCAGGAUUGGGACUGGGCUUAUGAUGGAGCUCCAAGAUUACCAAUGAGAUAGAGAGGCACUGUGAUUGUAAGUGAAGACAUAUCUUUAUUGUCCAUACCAAAGUAGGAAGUGACCAACAAUUGGAGACAUGGAUUAGGUUUAGGGUUAGGAUGACACCACUACAUGGCUUCCAACAACAAUGCCAAUGCAAUCCAAUUAGGCACAAGGGUGACAUAUACUAAGACACAAGGGAUAAUAUACAACAACCACAAGGACAAGAAUAUAGUAGAUGCUAUUGUAUUGUAAUACAAAAAUGUGGUGAAAGAUAAAAGUAUAGAUUCUAUUACAGAAGAACUUAAUAGAAUGAUACAGUACCAAAACAUUGUUAAAAUCUAGGGAGGUAAUAAAAGAUUUUAGUAUUAAUAUAUAUAUAUAUAUAUAUAUAUAUAUUUUCUCUCUCUCUCUUUAUAUAUAUAUAUAUAUAUAUAUAUUUAUAAAAUAGUUUUCUACUUAUUUUGAAUAACUAUAAAUAAAGUAAAAAGUAAAUUAAAAAAAAUAGACAUCUUUAGGAGAAAUUUGGAUUUUUGAGAUCUUAAAAAAUUUUAUUGAUUUAAUUUAAACAAAAUUUUGUAAAAGCAUAAUAGGCUUGGAUAUCUAUACUUUUGUAUCGUCUUGGAGAGCAGCUAAAUGAUUCAAUAAGGAAUAAUUGUUGCUCUAAGAUCAACAUCUAAGUUUGAGAAAGAUAACAAUCAAUACUUAAGUAUAUUAGGAGCUUUUUUCUUAUAUUGGUAGGUUACAUUUUAUUCAAACUUUGUGUAUUUAUUGUUGGCUUGAAGAUUAAAAUAUGAAUAAAGGUUAGUAAAUAUCAAAAAUUUAAUUAAUAAAUAUUAGGAUUCUAAAACAACUAUAAAAGUUUGAUUAUAAUUUAUUUAAGGUUUUUUUGGAGGUACAUUAAGUUUUGGUUAAGAUUUACUUAUAAAUUAUUUAUGAUUUAUUUAUGAUUUUAUUUUUCUUAUUUUUAGUAUUAAAUUAGGAUUUAUUUAGUAUUUUUAUAAAAUUUAUUAUAUUUUUAAAGACAUAUUUUUAUUUUUUUAUUAUUUAAAAAAUAUUAGAUUUAUUAAGAAUUAAUUAAGAUUUGAUUAUGAUUGCUGUUUAGUUAGAAUUUAUUUAGGAUUCUAUUAGAAAUGUUAAAUCUUUUAUUGCAAUUUUAAAUUUACCUUCUAUAGCUAAUUGCUUGGUACUUUUUCAAAUAAGUUAAUACAAUAUAUGGAAAUAUGGAAUUGAAGUUGUUCUUUGCAAUGAACAUUUGCAUUGAUUUUUUUUAUUCUUCAACUUUCUUUAAUUGUGCUUUCAUUGUUGUAUGAAACUUUACAAAUAAUUUAUUAAAUCUUUCAUUAUAAAAUCAUCAAAUUUUAAGAAUUAUAAUAUCAAGUUAUGGAUGAUAAUUAUAAUUAGCAUAAAAUACUAAUUAUAAAAUGAAAGAAUGUAUUAUAUUAUUGUAGAAAUAUUUUACUAAUGAUAGAAAAAAUUAUCCAAUUAUCUUAUUUCAUGGAUAUAUAUCUAUUAUACUUGUUACUUAGGUAAUAUGAAUGAGUAGAAUUAGAUAAAAAUAGAUUAAUUUCAUACUAUCUUUUACAAAAGCUUCUUAGAAGCUUUUUAGAUGCUCUUUGAUUUUACAUAUGUUUGUAGUUGAUUGAUAGCUUAGAAACUUAAUUAAAAAGCUACUCAUGUGCCACCCACAUGUGUUAGUAGCUUGUAGAACAAGCUAACUAUGUGGCAUCCAUAAAACUUACCUUGUAAGUUAAGAUAUGUGUCAUGUAAAGUUAAUAUGUUUUUGUAGAUACUAUAAAAUGUUGCCAUCUAGAUCUUAUAUAGAUAGUAUAUAUAGACGCAAGAGUGAAGCCUUCUUCACUCUUGUCAACUCCUUUCUUAUUUCUAGUCUAGUUUCAAGAAUCUUUAGUUUCUUUGUCUUUUGAUAAUAGCCAUUCUAGUUUCUUUUUAAUAUACUUACUUUUUAAUUUUUAAUUUUUAAUGAAAUAUAAGCGUAUUAGAAGUUGUAGAUUAUCUUCUUCUAAACUAAUAUUUUUCUUAGUAUUUUUUUUGUUCUCAAGUCCUCUUUUUUGCUCGUCUUAAGCAAUAUAUAUAUAUUUUCUUUCUUCUAAGUGUUAUCAUGGCAAAGCUUCUUAAAAUAAAGAGUGCAAUGGCACAAAUACAACAACAAUUGAAAGAGUUGAUACUUAUAAUGCAUCAACUCAAUUUAUAGGUACCAAAAACAAGAGAAAUGAUAGGAAGUGAAGAUAUAGACAUGAUUGGAGCUGCUUCAACAUCUAUACCAAAUCACAUCUUUUUUCUUAUAGUAAAACACCCUUCUAGUAUUAGAGAAUCCAAAUUUUUCUUAUUUGAGAAGUUUAAUGGCAUAAGAUUUAAAUUUCAAGGAUUUAUCAACCAAGUACAACUUAUAAUUGAACUUCAUCUUCAAAGCUAUCCAACCCUUAGAUCACAAGUUAGAUUCAUUGAUACACUUUUUUCAAGUUUGAUAUUAUCAUGGUUUACAACUUUUCUUGAACAAUGAGAUCUAAUAUUAGAUAAUCUAAAGGCUUUUUUGGUAGAAUUUUGAUUUAUGCAUGGAAAACAUGAUGCAAUUUAGAUUGCAAUUAAUAGGAUCCAUAUCUUGCGACAAAGCAAUCAAUUAGUGAUAUCAUAUAUUUUACAAUUUUAAAAACUAGCAAUUGAUAUCAAGUAGAAUGAUGCUGCCUUUAUCAAUAAAUUUUUCUACAUAUUACAAUAUGAAGUAAAGAAAUUGAUGCUCAACUUAUCUGAUCUUUAGACAUUGAGUUAAUCAAUUGAUUUUGCUAUGAGAUCUGACAAUUGACUUUUUGAGUUUUAAUCUGAGAAUUGUGCAAGAGAACCUCUAUGCUUUUACAAUUCAAUGACAGCACCAACAACUUCUCAAUCUAAAUAUUUUGAAGUAAAAGUCAUGCAAAUUAAUGUGAUACAUUUUAAACCUCUUACUGAAUAAGAAAAGGCUCAUUGUUGUCAAGAAGGAUUAUGUUUAUAUUGUAAAAAAACUAAGUAUAGUGCUUAACAUUGUCCAAAAAAACAAUACAAUUACAAAAUAAAGAAUACAACUGUCAUGAUGAGAAAAUGUUGAAAAAUAAAUUUGUCUAGGUAUAAUAAGAAUCAUGCAACUGAAAUCUUAUACAAAUAAAGGUCCUAUCCUCUCCUCAAAAUCUUCUCCUUGUUUUAUGAUAGAUGUGCAUUUAAGACCUAAUAAUCACAAAGCCUCUACUUUAAUAGAUUCAAGAGUAUCAACUUAUUUCUUAGAUAAAGAAUUUGUUAAAAUCAUAGAAUACCAUUAGUACAAAAAAUUAAAUCCGUACAUAUAGAAAUCAUAAAUGGCCGUCCAUUAUCUUUUGGAGAUAUUACUCAUAAAAUACUUCUUAUAAAUAUAGCAAUAAAUGGUUAUAAUAGUUGCAUAAUUUUUAAUAUAAUUAGAUUUUCCUCUAAUUCGGCCAUUUUAGGUUUAUUGUAGCUAAAAAAGUAUAAUCCUCUGAUAGAUUGGAUUUCUCAUAAACUUGAUAUUUCUCAAAGCAUUAUUAAGAGUUUUAUAGAAAGCCAUUAAUCUAGUAUAGCCAAAGCCAUACUUGUAGGCUUAAAAGCUUUUUUGCAUACUAUAAAAGAAGGAUCACCUUUUAGUAGUUCAAGUAAAUAGAUAGGAUACUCCAAGACAUAACAUGAUUUAUUAAUUCAAAAUAUUUGUGAAAUCAAAAGACUAAUAAAAAUUUGAAUAAUUAAAAAUUUAAGGUAUUUUUUUAUUAUUAUUAAAAUCAUUUUUGUCGUACUUUAAAAGAUCAAGUGUUUUCUUUGAUUAUUAACUUUUAUAAAAAUAUAAUAAUAAUAAAUAAUUUUUAUUAGAUUUAAAAAUUUUAGAAUUUCAAAAAAUAAUUGAAUAUAAAUAAGAUUAUAUAUAUAUAUAUAUAUAUAUAUAGAGAGAGAGAGAGAGAGAGAGAGAGAGAGAUAUCAAUCAAAUUUAUAUAAGAAUUAUUAGUUUUAUAAAAAAAAACAAAAAACAAAAAACAAAAAAGAAUCAUAAGAACCAAUAUCAUAAAUAUAAAAAAAUAGUCUAAUAAUAUCAAAUUAUCAAAGAUAUUAAAUUUUUAUUAAAUUUUUUCUAAAUUUAAAUAAAUAUAUCUACAAAAAUUUAUAAUUUUUGUCUUUUUCUUUCAACUUAUUAUUGAUUACUAUUCUAGUUCCUUGCUAGGUAGUUGGUUAGUUAAUUUUUUACUUGAGUCUUAAUCACUUGCUAUAUUUUUCAUUGCUUUGAUGACAAAGUGCUCUAAGAAUAUUGCUUUGGGAUACAACAACCAAUAUGUGAUGUCCAAACAUUUAAAAUCAAAUCUAUGUUUUUGAGUUGUGACAUAAAGAAUAUAUUUGGUUUUAUUUUUUAUAUGGAAUAAAUUUGGAUUUUUUACUUUGACAAGACCAUCUUAAUUGGAUGCGGUUUGAAAUUAUUUAUAAUUGAUAUAUAGGUCUAUUUUAAGCUUUAACAUUAUACAAAGGUUUCUACAUAAAACAAGCCUUAGGAUUUUAGCACAAUCAUAGCCACUCAUAAUAGCUAUAUGUUUCCAUGUUAAUGCAAUAGAUGUCUCUAUUACUAUUUUAUUUAUCUUACAAAUGAGUAUCACCAAUCACUCUCAUUUUCAUACUGAGCAUUAUUAGAUCUAAGAAAUCUAAGCCUUACUUAGCAUCAACCACAAUUACUUGGCUUGCUUACUAAUUGUUGAAAGGUCCAUACCUUCACUUUUACACACAUGUCCAUAUCUUGUGACAUUAUUCUAUUUAGUGCAAGUAGCGGCAUUGUCAAAGUAGUCAACAAAGAUUGUUUUGUCUUGCUUGCUUUUUCUAAAAGAAUAGAAAAUUGUGUAAAAUUGAUUAGACAAAGGAGUAGUCUAGUAAAGGUGUGGUGGAUUGGAUCGAUUGCAUUGUGUGUGCAAGUUUGUGAGAUUAAUUUUUGCAAGACUAAGUAGCUAUUAUUUUCUUUUGAAGUAUUUUUUUUGCAAUUUUGGUUGUUUUUAGAAUUGAGAAAGUAAAUAGUUUGUUGUAUUGAUUGUAAAUGGAUAUAGUUUUUUUUAAAAAAAUUAGAUGAGAAUAGAAUAUAAAUAAGUAAUUAUAUUAAAUAUAAAUUUUUAUAUCACAAAAAAAAUAUUUAUUUAAAAUAUAUAAAAUAUUUAUUUUAUCAUCUAAAAUAUUUUUAUAUAUUAGAAUCUAAUUUUUUUAUGAUAUUUUUAAUAAGUUCUAUGUUUAUAUAUAUUAAUAAAAUACUAAGUUUUUUUUAUAUUUUAUUAAUUUUAUAAUAAUAGUAAAGAAUCUUAAUACUUUGCAAAGAAUGAAAAUAAAAUAAGAUUAAAAGAUUCUUUGUAAGUUAUAUAUUUACGGAUUUAGAACACAUAAUUGAUUGUAGAUGUAAUCAUUUUUUUUUUUUAAUGAAGGAUGUAUUUUUGCUUCAUGGUUGAACUAUGUAGAAGAAUGAACAUAGGAAUAGAUAUAGGAUUUUUGAAUUGGUGUAGAUGUGAUGCUUUUAUUAUCUUUAUUUCUUAUGUUUUAUUGAACUUUUGAUGAAAAAUUAGAAAUUUUAAGAGUGUGGUGAUGAAUCAAUGUGAUAAGUGCUUUUAGGUCUAAAAAAAUAGAUAUUGUUAAUUAAUUUAUUGAAUAUAGCUUAUGAGAUUCACAAGUUUAAAUUUUAAAUUAUUUAUUUAAAAUUAAAAUUAAAAAUUAAACUUUUAAGCUUGACCCAAAGAAAAAAAAUAUUGUUCUAUGAUAAGUCAAAAAUCACAAGAAUGUGGUAAGGAGUCAUUAUCAUUAAUACUACUAAAUCUAUUAAACAUAAAUAUAAUUAUCUAAAUAAGUAAAUAUAGUGUAUGUAAUUUUUAAGUGUAAAUUUGAAAUUAAAAAAUAUAUUAGGAAUUUAAAAAAAAUAGAUUUAAUAGUAAAAUAAAAUUUAUUUAUAAUAUAUUAAUUUGUAGAAUUAUAAAUAAAUAAAUAAAUAUUAAUAGUUGAAAGUUAUAUUAAUUAAAGCUUGCAAGAAGAACUUAUAGUAUAGCUGGUUGAUGUGCAUAUAAGAUAUAAUCAUUUUAGAUUUUUUUUGGAAUUUAAGUUUUUUUUUAACUCAAUAAAAAGAAGGUGGAUGUAUUUAAAGAUCCUCAUGUUAUGAUACAAAGAAUUUUUCAAUGAAUUUGAAGAUAAAGAUUUUUAACUAGUAUAGAAAAAUUUAAUGAUUAUUUAAAAGAUAAUGGAAAAAUAUCAAAUAUGAAAGGUAUUGGUAGAUAUAUUUAAAAAGAAUGUUAAGCUUGUGUUGAAAUAUUAAAGAUUUUAUUGAAGAAAAAAGGCUUCUUCAAUUGAAAUCAAUGUACAAAUUUAUAUAAGAUCUUUAAGCAUAUUACAAAGGUUUUUGACCACCUAAUGGCUUGUAGUAAUAAUAAAUUAUAAUUUAGAUUUUAUUAAAUUAAUUAUUUUUAUAUUAAAUAAAUAUUAUUAUCUAAUAGAAAAAUAUGAAAAACAAAAUUGGUAUAAAGAAACUAUGUUUUAAUUGAAUAACAAAGAAACGCUUAGAAAACUACUAUAGAAUUUGAAAUAUUAUUAUUAUAUAGCAAAUAAUAUGUUUUCAAAGCAAUAUCCUAACAAAUUUGAAGACAUUAUAUUUGUUAAUUUUGAUAUUGCAACAUAAAAUGAAAUAAAAGAUAAUGUUAAAUUUCUAUAAAAAAAAUUUAUCUCAGUAAGUAAAAAAAAAUAAAAUAUAUUGAAUAUUAUGGAUUAGCAAAGCAUCUACUACAAAAAUUAGAAGACUCAUAGUACACAACACGUGGAGAUUUAAAACUAUUACUAGACAUAUAUAAUCUUGAAAUUGUACAACACAUAAAUCAAUAAGCUUUUAGAGAAGUUUAUAAAUUAAAGUAGUUAGCAUUUUUGUGUACAAUUAAAAAAAUUGAUGCUAACUUUGAUGAAAUUUUCAUUAAAAAGUAAGCAUUUCUAGUAAUUUUAAGCCAUUUCGGUUUAAUAACCUAUUAUUUUGUAAUAAAAGGAAAUGCCAAUGAAAGAAUUAAAUAUUCUAUUAAAAAGGAUAAAAAAGAGUAUUUAUACUUGGAUAUGGAAUUAAUGCAAAAAUAUUUAGGCAAUAUAUUAGAAGAAAUAAAUACAUAACUUAUAUUUUUUGCAUAGAUAUUACAAAAUUACAAAAAGAAUGUGUUAUUUGUAUGAUAUGGACAUUGCGCAUUGUGAUUUAAUGCCUAGGAAUAUUUUGGUUGAUAUGUAUAAUCAAAUUAUAGAUAGGAGUAUUCAAUAUGCUAUUGUAAAAAUGAUUGAAUUUGGAUGGAUCAAGAUUGAAGUUGAAAGAACUUCAAAAGCUACAAAGAAUAAUCAAAUUUGUGAUACUCUAAACUAUAUGGCUCAAGUGGUUAUGAAAAAUGAAUUUCAAACAAUAAUAAUGUGUCAUUUUAAAGCUGAUGAUUAUUUAUUUACAAUGAUAUGUUCUAAAAUCCUUUCAAGAAUACAAGCCAUUUGGUAAUAUUAGCAUAAAGAAAGAAAUGUUAGAAAAAAUUAAAAAAGAUGAUAGAUCAAAAUUACCUUCAAAUUUUGAUGACUUGAUUGAAUUCAUCCAAGAAUAUUAAAAAUUGAAUCUAUUAUGUUUUCUAAAGUUUAUAAAUAUUUGUGAAAGAUAAAAUUUACUAAAUAAAAAAAUAGAAUUAAUAUUAAAUACACAUCAUAUUUUGGAGCAUCAAAAAAAUAGUUUCAUUAAAGUAUAGAAUUGUAGCAUAUAUAUAAUAGAUUUCUUUUGGUAAAUUUUUUAUUAAAAACUAAAGUAAUUAUAUAUUAAGUUAAAUACAUUGAUUGUAUUUAUAUUAAUAUGUAUUUUUUAUAGUAUAAUAAUAUAUAGAUGUCUUAUUAUGAACUCAAGUUAGUAAAUCUAGGUUAAAAUAUAGUAUGUGCAUUAUUUUAUUUUAUUUGUUGAUUUAUGGAUGAAUUAUUUUAUUGCAAGUUGAUUUAUUUGAAGGAAAUUUAUUUGGUAGAGUAAAAUAUUCAUCAAAAAUGAAAAAAAAGUGUGCAAAUAAUGAAAAGGUAUCAUAGCUUGUUAGAAUGGAUGGAAUAGACAAGAAAUAAAAACAAUAUUGAUUAUUGAAAAAAUAAAUACAAUACUUUAUGCUUUGUUGAAUGCAUUUGAAAGUAGUAGUGAUUGUUAUAUAAUUUCUUGCAAUAUUUUAGAACAAUAGAUGAAAAAAAAAUUCAAGAAAUGUUGAAAUCAUUCUUGAUAGAAAAUAAAAUUAUAUUGGUCUUUGAUAAUGUGAAGAAUUAAAGUUAAAUUCAAGAUGUUGUGCCUGUGGAUGACAUAUAUGCUAGUAAUGGUUGGACAUUGAUUAAGGAAAUUUAAGAUUUAAAAAAAAUAGAAUAUUGUGGUGAAAAAUUUUAUAUAAUAAAUAUUGAAGAACAUGAUGAAGAAAUAAAUAUGAAGUUAUUUAUGACUCAUUUUUAAGGCCAAUGAAAUUUGCCAAAUGAACUGGUUGAGAUUGGAAAAAAAUUUGUAAAAGCUUGUAAUAGCCUGCCAUUGAGUUUAAAGGUUAUGGAAGAAUUUUUGAGAGAGAAUAAAGAUUGAGAUGUUAGAAGCAAGUUUACAAAAGUUAAAGAAGGGAAGAGAGUUGGAUAGAGAUGAAAACAAUAGUAACUACAAAAUUUGGAAUAAAAUAAGAAUAAGCUUUGACAAUUUGAGAAUUAAAUAAAAAAAUAUAUUUAUAUAUAUAUAUAUAUAUAUAUGUUGUAGUUUUGUGAAUUUACAAGGCAUGUCAAAAGAAAGAGCAUUGCAAAUGUGUGCUAAUUAUUUAAAAAUAUAUAAUUAAAAAAGAUAUAGAAUUAAUUUUUGAUACAUUGAUUUACCAAUCAUGGUCUACAUCAAAUUUACCACAUUUAUAAUAUCUUGUAAUAUAAGGAAUUAUAAGAAGAACAAAAAUUAAUUGAUAAAAAUUAAUAAAGCUUGAUUUAAAAUUUUAAUUUAAAUAUAAAAAAUUAAAAUUAAAUGAAUAUCCUAUAUAUAUAUAUAUAUAUAUAUAUAUAUAUAUAUUGUGUGAUUAAAAAUAUUUUAUGUAAUUUAUUUUUAAUAAAGAUAAAUUUAACAUUGAAGAUACAAUACUAAUAAGUAACAAUAUCUUAUUAAAAAAAAAAAAAAAAAAAUCUAGUCACAAUAACAACCAAAAAUUUCUUAUAAAAAUAUCUAAUUAAUUCUUUUAUUUUCAACUUUAGUUUUUGAUACUUAUAUGAAUUAUACUAAAACAUGCAAGAAUUGAUAUAAAGAGAAUUUUAGAAAUUAUAAAAAUAAAAUUCUAUAUUAAUAAAUAUUUUUAAAUAAUAAUAGUAAUUACUUAUAUAGACUUUUGGAAUUAAAAAAUAAAUUUAGAAACCAUUGCAAAGAAGCAAACAAUGUGUAUUAUGGUUAAUGCCAUCUUGUUUCUAUUAAAUUCCAUAAUCCAUAUAAUAUUGUAGUUUAAACUAUACAGUUCAAUAGUUGAUUGAUUAAUGCAAAGAUCUUAAAAGAGUAUUAACUGAAGAAUAAAAAAAUGAUGUAUUUUAGAUAUCUAGAAGCUAAGAAAAAAAUUAAAAUAAAAUAAAAAAAUUAGCAAAUUAUUUAUUUAAUAUUUGACCUUGAAGAAUAUAUUUAUGAGAAAGAAGAUAGAUAUAUUACCAAAGCAUCAACUAACUAAUUAUGCACUUAAAAUUAUUAAAAGGAAUAAAAUUUUUAAAAUAAAAAAUUACUACUUAUUGAAUAUUAUAUUUAUAAAAUUAUAAGAAUUUUUUUUAAAAACCUUAAAAUUUUUGAAUUAAUAAUUAAAGUUAGAAGUAAGAGAAUUUAUUCUAUUUAUUGUGUAAAAAUAUGAAAUAUUAAAUAUGCAUACUGAUUAUUUGGAUCUAAUAUAUAUAUAUAUAUAUAUAUAUAUAUAUAUAUAUAAUUAUAAUUUUAAUUAUUAAGAUCAUUAAAUUUAAAAUUUAAAAAAACUAAAAUCAAGACAAACUAAGACUCCUGCAAAGAUUGGCCUAAAAAGGGCUAAAAGCCUUGUUAAAAUUAAGUAAAAAUAACCAAUUUAUAUAAUUAUAAAAUGCAUGCACAUUUUGAAAAAAAUGCAUAUUAAGUAAUAAUUUUUUCUAUUACCUACUAUUAAAUUUUAACAAUGCCACAAGAUGUUACUCUUGGAUAUUAAUUAGGUUAUGAAGUGGAUAAAAAAUAAAUUAAAAAUCAAGAAUUUAAGACCUUUAUAUAUUUUACAUAUAAAUUUUUUAAAAAUAAAUUAUUCUUUUUUUAUUUCAAUCAAAUUAAAAAAAAAAAAAAAAAAAAAAAAAAAACCAAGAAGAAUUAAAGAAAUUUUAAAAAAAUGCCCUUGCAAUUUGCUGAAAUAUCAAGAAUACCCAUGUAUUCUUAUAAUCGCAAAACUGCCCCUCAUACCCGUGAUAAUAUCUAAUCUACUCUGACCCUGAUAACUUCUCAUUCAGAAUCCACAUUUAGUGCAAACUAGGCACAAAGUGUGUGUUGUGUAUACUUCAGCACGGUAUUGAGCUUGUUUUCUCAUAUGGUCCUAAAUUCUUUGCCUACAGUACCACUGCUCAAUGCUUGCCAUGCCUGCUACUCAUUCCUCAUUGCUUGCUAUGUCUGCUACUUGCUGAUAACCUAGUUUCCCACCAUUCAAUGCAAUGAAGCAUGUGAUUUUAGUGUAACAAAAUUUUAUAACAAUGCAACAUAGAAUAGGAUCACAGCCAACUACAACAACAAAUAAUGAUGAUUCAAUGUUUGAAAUGUAAUAAGGUUGUAAUUAAUGAAUUAUUUUAUUUAUUUAUUUAUACAUUAAAAUAUCACUUCUUUUUCUCUUAAACGUAUUUCAAGAGUAUAUAUAUAUAUAUAUAUAUAUAUAUAUUUUUUAAAAUCUAAUAUGAUAUAUCAUCUUGAACUCAUACUAUAUACAAUAAAACAGUAUAUGAAUUUCAAAACCUCAUUCGAUAUAUGAAUAUAAUGUUUAUGAUAUAAUAGCAUAGACAUUUGAACUCAGAAAUUAUAUAUCAAAUUGAUAGAAGUACAAUAGUUUUUUAGAAAAACAAAAACGGAUAAAAGUUUCAAUGGUAUCUUAAUAAUAAAUCUUCAAUAAAAAAUACUUUAUUUUAUUAAAAGUAUUGUAUAGAAAUUUUUAAAAACAUUUAUUAAUAUUGAUCAUGAAAAAAUAAUAUUUAAUAUUUUUUUAUGAAAAUAAAUUUAUAAAUAUUAUAUUUUGGAUAUUUGGUUCUAAAAAAAUAAAGUCUAGCUUAAAAUUAUCUUAUAAUCAAAAAAAUAUAUAUGCCUAAAAACAUUCUUCUUUUAUAAUCUUAAUCCUUCUUGUAGUUACAAAUUGAUUGUGCAUGAAGUAUUGAGAAUUGUAUAUUGGUAUUAAUAUUGUAUACUAGUAUGCUUUUCCAUUGCAACAAUCAAUAUGAUUUACUUGUUUACUUCCAUGAAAAAUCAUCAAAAUUGACAUAUAUACUAUAAUAUUAAACAAGCUAUAUUCAUGUAAUAACUUUAUAUAUUUUUCAAAAACAAAUCUCGGGAUUCAACCCAUCCAAUUUGCCACCCAUAUUCAAAUAUAUGUAUAUAAAUAAAUAGCUAAAUUGUCAAUAUUAAUUCUACUUGAACUCUAAUAAGAAGAAUAUGUUUUGUAUUGUCACAAUGGACACACUUUCAAAUUAUUGGUUUGAAGUACGAGUUUUAUCCCAUUUAUUUUUAAUCACAUGAAAAGAACAUGAACAAAAAGAAUGAAGAACUGGUGGCACUGGAUGUCCACUACAUAUAGUCAAAACAUGAAUAUUAAAGACAAAUGUGCGAGUCCAAUAGUAUUGACAGUGCUCCUUCAAAGCUCAUAUUUCAUGACUUUGUUGCAGACAGUUCACGAGUAGCAACUCUGUUGAGCUUCAAUGCAAGAACUCCAUUUGAAAACACCCUAAAAUCUAGAUGAUUUUACACAACAAUUUGCAACAAACUGACGCACAAAUCAGGUCCAUCAAGGGUGAUUUUUUGCCAAUUGGUUUGCUUCUACAUGAGCUCACAUGAAACCUUGUUACAUUUCAGACAUUGAAUCGUCAACAUCUGUAAUUGGCUGUGAUCUUGUUCUUUGUUGCAUUGCUGUAGAGUUUUGUUACACUAAAAUUGCAUGCUUCAUUGAAUUGAUUGGUAGGAAACCAAGUUGUCAGCGAGCAGCGAGCUUUAGGCCCAGUUUGCAUUAAAUCUGGACUCUGAAUAAGAGGUUAUCAAGGUUGGGGGUAGGUUAGAUAUUAUCAGGGGUAUGAGGGGCAGAAUUGCAAUUAUUAAGAAUAGAGUAAUAGAGUUUGAUAUUUCAGCAAACUGCAGGGGCAUUUUUGAAAUUUUUCCUUUUUAACUAGAAUCUUAAAAUAAGUAAAUAUGGACGAAUUUUAUUUUUUUCCAUUCAUAAUCUAAUCAGCCAUCAAGUCAAAAAAAAAAAAAAAAAAACUGCAUUUAGCAUAUGUAGAAUACUUAGUGUAUACAAUGUUUUAAAAAAAAAUUAUAUGUAUUUUAAUAUAAUUUUUUUCUUAAUUUUAAAGUAUUUUGGAAAAUAAAUCUAAGUUAUAUAUAUAAUAAUAAAUAAAUAAAUACUUAGAUUUUGUUUCACAAUUUAAGACCAAUAGUUAUAUAGUAUUAGUGCAUAAUUAAAUAGUGUAGCUAGACUAAAGAUUUUUAAAACUUAAAUUUGUAAGAUAAUAAAUUGUGAGUUUAUUUAAUCUCACAAUGCUUAGAAAUGUCAACCUAGCACUUUGUACUUAUUUUAACUACAACUUGUAGGAAUUAAAUAUGUCUCAAAUGUUGCUUUUUAAUUCUAAGGAAUUUUAAAAUAUUUGAAAUCUUUAUGUGAGGGUUUGUGUUGACAAAAUAUCUAAAUUUUGUUUUUUCCUAGUUAUUUGCAAGAAAAAUUAGACAAUUUUAGCAAAAACCUAAGGGUUGUAAAAUAAUUACUUAAAAAAAACUCUAAUGAGACAAAUGAUGAAACAAAAUUAAGAAAAUAAACUCUCUUAUUUUACAAAUUAUUACGUAAAUAUGUAAGAUGAAAUAAUCUUGAGUACAAAUAGAUAGAUCUAAUUUUAAUAUAAGAUAUGAUUCUAUGUAAAUUUAUUGAACUAUCAAAAUAUUCAGCAAGUAGAACAUAUAACUAAUUAAAAAAAAAUGGAAAAAAAAGUAAACAAAACAAAUCAAAAGAAUGAAUUUAAAGCAAAAUAAGUGUUGUUUUCUUGUACUAUUUUAAUCUUUAUUUGAUUGUGUAUUCUGCAGAUGAAUAAAUAACUGGGAUUGAAAUAGAUGGACAUUUCAUUUCUGAUAUAAUAAACGUCUCUUAAAUAUCCAAUAUUUAAAAUAAAAUAAAAUUCACAAACAAUAAAAUCAAAUAAAAAACAAACAAACAACUUAUUUAGUAUUUUGUCAACAAAUUUAUCUUACAUCCUAAACACCAACCAACGCUUAAUCUGCCUGGAACAAAAGAAUAAUCUCCUUGACUCUUCGCAAUAAACUAAAAUUACUGUAAUUUGACCAACAUUUUAUAAUACUGAUCAUUGGAACACAUAUUAACGAAACCACAAGAAUGUUUUUCAAGCAUUGACCACAAGAGUUUCUGUGCAUAGAAAAAUAUGGUUGGAACUCAGUUUCUUUCCCGACAUACACUCUAAACCAAAAUCCACCCAGCCUUAAAAAAUCAUAUAUACCAUCACAAUGUUCAAUGAAUAGUGUCUUUAAUCUCUAGAAUGAUUUAUACAAAUUCAGUUCUUCCAAUUCUAAAGCCUUUGCAACAGCAACCGUCAGUUAUGACUUUUUUUGUUAUCAUGCAUAGAACCACGACUAAAAAAGUAGAAGAAAUGGCGGUUCAAGGUCGAAAAUAAAACUUAAUCUCUGAAGUGUCACUCUUGACAUCAGUUCUGGCAUGUGUUUGAUUGCAACGUACAUGGCUGGAGGAAUACAUCUAGAUUCAGAAACUGAGGGUUUCGCAUUCGUGUUCAUCUCUCUGCAUCCUCCUAGGUAUGGUUUAAUCUUUUGAUCCUCAAUGAAUUGCUAAUCACAAUGCCGUGAUUGCUACUAUUUCACAACAAAUUGAGGUGCCUUACUGUAGAAAACCAGGCGUGAUAAAAUGGUCAAAUUGAAUACCAUGCUUACGUACCGCAUAGGUCUACAAUCAAAGAGCUAUUAAAUUAUUCAUUAGAGCACCGUUUCCGUUGUGAGAAAGGAAGAAUGUUAACAAAAGAACUACAUAAUCAGCUGGGGCAUGAAGUACGUACACGGUUUCAAAGUAACAUGGCAAUAUCGGUACUAACUGAAAUCGAGGUACAGAAAAUAGCUAGUCGCCUUCACCAAGUUCAAAUGUGACUAGAUCCCCAGAAGUAACACAAAGCAUUAUAAAAAAAACCGGGUUAUAAAGAACACCUUCACAUUAUCGACAAAAUUCCAAGACCUACAAGAUGCCCGCUCAGGUGGAUCCACAUCCUGCAGAUGCCAUUACAAUUCAACAAGAACAUCAAUCCAUUUUGACUAUACCUUCACGAGAUCUGUACCACGUCAAUCUACGUUAGGCUGAGGAGUGAGACGAAUGUAGCUCUUUCCAGAAGGCACUUCCACUGUCUCGAAACCCUUCGGGAACUUCGCCGUAGCGGCAUCGUUAGAGAGGGACGGCACAACCAUACACUUGUCUCCCUGAUUCCAGUUCACAGGAGUCGCAACGCUGUAAUUCGCAGUGAGCUGAAGCGAGUCGAUCACACGCAAAACCUCAUUGAAGUUCCGCCCGGUGGUGGCAGGGUACAAGAUCGACAGCUUCAGCUUCUUGUCAGGACCGAAAACAUACACUGCCCUCGCCGUCAACGGAAUGCCCUUGGCAUCAAUUUCAUCAGGGUCCAGCAUCCCAAACUUCACAGCGAGCUCCCGCGUCGGAUCGGCCAAGAUAGGGUAGCUUACUUUCGCCCCUGGGGUGAAGCUCUCAAUGUCCGCAAUCCAACCCUUGUGCGACUCCACAUCGUUGCACGAUAACGCGAUCACCUUAACCCCCCGCUUCUCAAACUCCGGCAAAAACUUCCCGACGGCUCCGAGCUCGGUAGUGCAAACAGGAGUGAAGUCGUUCGGGUGGGAGAAGAGAAUUGCCCACGAACCAGUAAUGUACUGGUGGAAAUCGAUCUUGCCGUGAGUGGAAUCGGCCACGAACGAAGGCGCUGCAUCGCCAAGCUUCAAAGCCAUUACCGCGGUUUUUGAAAAGCUUCCUCAACGACAAAAUCGAUCAAUCGACCAAAGGUGCA